AGUGAUUUUUAACAAACCACAGGGACGAAAACAGUAAUUAACUCUUUUCUUUUUUUAUAUAUAGUUAAAGGGGCUUUAAAGAGAGACUUUAUUUCAUCCGGUGCAACUUAACAAUAAUACCUGCAUGCUUACGUGUUGCUUAGAAAGCAUGAUAGAAGCUUUAUCCCACAUUAUACAACCUAAUUGUGAUAAAAUUCUAGAAAAAAUCAUGAGAACUUUAGCAUCAACUACUUUAAAUAGUUGUAUCCACUUAUAUUAGAUAGUUGUAUAACUUUACCAUCUACAAUCCCGAACAACAAUGGUAUUAACAAUCACAACCACCUCCUGAAAAUCAAGAUUCAUGUGUCCGGCAUCGGGUUUAACAAACCGAUGUUGAUACAUCCGUAAUGACGAAUAUUCAAAACGAAAAAACAAAGAAAUUACAGGGUUCACUAACUUACAGAUCUGCAUUCCACUAUUGUCAACACCUCAAGUACAUACACACCAGAGAGUUUUCACCAGCGAACCACGGUUUCAACUUUCACACAGAAAAAUCGUACAAUGAUUGCUCAUAUCUGGCAACAGUAGACGAUUCUACAACGUCAUCACCUCCAUAACCGCCACCGUGAUUGCCGGAGUUGAAGUGAAGCAAGAAUACAUCAGGUCAGUGGUAAGGUCAGAGUGGAUUGUAACACCUCGAAAUUUUGUGUCCAAUAAUGUGUUGACACGCGUCAUGAGUUUA
Helianthus annuus (common sunflower) is the source of this 721-nucleotide long non-coding RNA. RefSeq lists it as uncharacterized. The record is from RefSeq and is a predicted model, not a curated record. The transcript has 2 exons. Lineage: Eukaryota; Viridiplantae; Streptophyta; Magnoliopsida; Asterales; Asteraceae.